CCUACGGGAGGCAGCAGUGAGGCAUAUUGGUCAAUGGACGAGAGUCUGAACCAGCAACGCCGCGUGAAGGAUGACUGCUUUCUGGGUGUUAACCUCUUUUUUUAGAGAAGUUAAUCGCGGUAUCUGAGCCUUCAUCCCCGGCUAACUCGGUUCCAGCAGCCGCGGUAAUACGUCGGGAGCCAGCGUUAUCCGGAUUUACUGGGCGUAAAGCGAGCGUAGGCGGGUUAGAAAGUCAGUUGUGAAAUCCUGCGGCUCAACCGUAGAAUUGCCAUUGAAACUGGCAGUCUUGAGUUUAGUAGAGGUAGGCGGAAUUCGUGGUGUAGCGGUGAAAUGCGUAGAUAUCACGAAGAACACCAAUUGCGAAGGCGGCUUGCUAGACUGUAACUGACGUUGAUGCGCGAAAGUGUGGGUAGCAAACAGGAUUAGAUACCCCAGUAGUC
RNAcentral lists this ribosomal RNA (440 nucleotides) under uncultured bacterium. RNAcentral's name for it is "partial 16S ribosomal RNA". It matches the Rfam family "Bacterial small subunit ribosomal RNA", at positions 338 to 795 of the family's 1533-position model. The record is from RNAcentral.